Molecule: non-coding RNA, 551 nt
Filed under: Pan troglodytes (chimpanzee)
Lineage: Eukaryota; Metazoa; Chordata; Mammalia; Primates; Hominidae
Source: RNAcentral
AAUUUGGGGACAACGCUGCGGGCAUCGAGGCGGUGGCGCUUGAUUUCCUUUAAAGUACCUACCACGCCACCCGCUACCUGCAAUAAUCCAUCUGAAGAGGUCGCCGGGCAGCGGCUCGGCAGACAGACUGACCUGCGGGGAGGUGCGGUUUCCAGUGGCGCGGGACAGCCGGCUCCGAGAAGGAACUGGGACCUUUGCCUAGGGCAAGACGUCAACAGGAACCCGCAGGCCCGGCCUGGACACCUGCUGCCCUCACUGGAAGCUUUAACUCCCACUCGAGUCUCUUGGCGUCGUCAGUGCCAGGAGCGCUUGGAUUGGGAUGGGGACGAAGAAAGGUGCCUCGCUCGCCGAGCCCCGCUGCACUUGGGGAACUGGCAAAGUCGAGGUUUCCUCACAGCGUUGAGAUUGAGACUGGGGGUCGUGGUCUCAAAUAGUCAAGACCCCCUGCUGGGAGGAGCUAUCCUGCUCUUUGGAAGAAAUGGGCAUGCCAGAUGCCUGGAAGAUCAGAGGCUCACAUUCCAGGUGCCAAGAACGUACACUGGGGAAAAAAU